Molecule: long non-coding RNA, 464 nt
Organism: Cebus imitator (Panamanian white-faced capuchin)
Lineage: Eukaryota; Metazoa; Chordata; Mammalia; Primates; Cebidae
Exons: 3
Source: RefSeq, a predicted model, not a curated record
GCGGGGGCGUGUCGGGGGCGUGACUAGGGAGUCCGGCGUGGCAGCUGCAGUCCCGGGCCAAAGUGUGCCUUCAGCCAGAAGCUGAACUGGAAACAUCCUAAGUGGGCUGCUAAUGAGGCUAGCUCUGUUGACUAGUUCAAGACCCCUGGCAGCUUUGGCCCUGAGGUUUCUCAACUUCCAAGUGAAAGGCUUCAACUUGGCAUUGUGGGACAUGACCUCUGGAACCAUCAGUUUCCUUAUCUGUAAAACUGGCAUCAUGAUAACUUUGAAGCUCUACAAGGAACGACCCAGGCCAGAAACCUGCCAAAUCCUGUCAAGUACUGUGAUCUGCAAAACGGAUCUGCCCCAGGAAAGCCCGGGAAGGUGGGGCUGGAUGGAGGGUGUGUUCCAGUUGGAACAUCUGCUCUGAGCCAGGCACAGUGGGGAAAACCAAGAUGGAUUCAUUAUGGCCCUGCUCUCAUGAU